Molecule: ribosomal RNA, 1346 nt
Filed under: uncultured bacterium
Lineage: Bacteria
Description: bacterial SSU rRNA
Rfam family: Bacterial small subunit ribosomal RNA
Source: RNAcentral
GACGAACGCUGGCGGCGUGCUUAACACAUGCAAGUCGAACGGAAAGGCCCUGCUUUUGUGGGGUGCUCGAGUGGCGAACGGGUGAGUAACACGUGAGUAACCUGCCCUUGACUUUGGGAUAACUUCAGGAAACUGGGGCUAAUACCGGAUAGGAGCUCCUGCUGCAUGGUGGGGGUUGGAAAGUUUCGGCGGUUGGGGAUGGACUCGCGGCUUAUCAGCUUGUUGGUGGGGUAGUGGCUUACCAAGGCUUUGACGGGUAGCCGGCCUGAGAGGGUGACCGGCCACAUUGGGACUGAGAUACGGCCCAGACUCCUACGGGAGGCAGCAGUGGGGAAUAUUGCACAAUGGGCGGAAGCCUGAUGCAGCAACGCCGCGUGCGGGAUGACGGCCUUCGGGUUGUAAACCGCUUUCGCCUGUGACGAAGCGUGAGUGACGGUAAUGGGUAAAGAAGCACCGGCUAACUACGUGCCAGCAGCCGCGGUGAUACGUAGGGUGCGAGCGUUGUCCGGAUUUAUUGGGCGUAAAGGGCUCGUAGGUGGUUGAUCGCGUCGGAAGUGUAAUCUUGGGGCUUAACCCUGAGCGUGCUUUCGAUGCGGGUUGACUUGAGGAAGGUAGGGGAGAAUGGAAUUCCUGGUGGAGCGGUGGAAUGCGCAGAUAUCAGGAGGAACACCAGUGGCGAAGGCGGUUCUCUGGGCCUUUCCUGACGCUGAGGAGCGAAAGCGUGGGGAGCGAACAGGCUUAGAUACCCUGGUAGUCCACGCUGUAAACGGUGGGUACUAGGUGUGGGGUCCAUUCCACGGGUUCCGUGCCGUAGCUAACGCUUUAAGUACCCCGCCUGGGGAGUACGGCCGCAAGGCUAAAACUCAAAGGAAUUGACGGGGCCCCGCACAAGCGGCGGAGCAUGCGGAUUAAUUCGAUGCAACGCGUAGAACCUUACCUGGGUUUGACAUGGAUCGGGAGUGCUCAGAGAUGGGUGUGCCUCUUUUGGGGUCGGUUCACAGGUGGUGCAUGCCUGUCGUCAGCUCGUGUCGUGAGAUGUUGGGUUAAGUCCCGCAACGAGCGCAACCCUUGUUCACUGUUGCCAGCACGUUAUGGUGGGGACUCAGUGGAGACCGCCGGGGUCAACUCGGAGGAAGGUGGGGAUGACGUCAAGUCCUCAUGCCCCUUAUGUCCAGGGCUUCACGCAUGCUACAAUGGCUGGUACAGAGAGUGGCGAGCCUGUGAGGGUGAGCGAAUCUCGGAAAGCCGGUCUCAGUUCGGAUUGGGGUCUGCAACUCGACCUCAUGAAGUCGGAGUCGCUAGUAAUCGCAGAUCAGCAACGCUGCGGUGAAUACGUUCCCGGGGCC